GACGAACGCUGGCGGCGUGCUUAAUACAUGCAAGUCGAACGGAAAGGCCCUGCUUUUGUUGGGUGCUCGAGUGGCGAACGGGGGAGUAACACGCGAGUAACCUGCACUUGACUUUGGGAUAACUCUAGGAAACUGGGGCUAAUACCGGAUAGGAGCUUCUGCUGCAUGGUGGGGGUUGGAAAGUUUCGGCGGUUGGGGCUGGACUCGCGGCUUAUCAGCUGGUUGGUGAGGUAGUGGCGUACCAAGGCUUUGACGGGUAGCCUGCCUGAGCGGGUGGCCGGCCACAUUAGGCCUGAGGUACGGCCCAGACUGCUACGGGACGCAGCGGUGGGGAAUAUUGCGGAGUGGGGGGAAGCCUGAGGCGAAAACGCCGCGUGCGGGAUAACGGCCUUCGGGUUGUGAACAGAUUUGGAAGGUGCCGUGCCGAGCGUGACGGUAAUGAGUAAGGAAGCAACGGCUAACUACGUG
Molecule: ribosomal RNA, 468 nt
Filed under: uncultured bacterium
Lineage: Bacteria
Description: partial 16S ribosomal RNA
Rfam family: Bacterial small subunit ribosomal RNA
Source: RNAcentral